Long non-coding RNA from Equus caballus (horse), 1952 nucleotides. Lineage: Eukaryota; Metazoa; Chordata; Mammalia; Perissodactyla; Equidae. The record is from Ensembl.
GUGGGGAGAAAGAAGCCACCUGGCCAGGCCAGACCUGACUCAUGUUUUCCUUGGCCGGAGCUGGAAUUCCUUUCAAGGUUUCUGCCUCCGAGAGCAGCGCGGCUGAGCUGGGUAGCGGCCGGAUGCUGUAUUUCACUGUGUCCAGGCUGAGAGGGAACCAGAAAUCAUCCACGGAAUGCGUGAGGUUAUUGGAUGAGAAGUGAGUGCCUGAGCUCCAGACAGCCAAUCCAUAGGCUGGCCUGCCAACUGCAACGUGGUCCGGACUAAAGGUGGCUGGUGAAGGUGACGCUUCCUGGAACUGGAACUGGAAAAUAUGGAAAGCCCAAGCCAGGUAGCAGCAGGACCGGAGGGUGAAAAGGUGCUGUAGGUUGACGCCCAGGGCAAGCAGAAAUGGUGAGGAAGCAUGUGCUGUAAGUAAACAGAAAUAAAGCAAUCAGCAGAGAGGAGAAAGGAACAGACACACAGAGGGGAAAGAGGUGCCAUAAGGGGGCCUCGCAGCUCACAGAGACACAGAGAAAGAGCUCUUACUUAUGGGGACUGCUUUGGUUCCUGGCAGCCCUUCAGAUGCAUGGUGAGGCCAUGUGUACCCUGAAAAAAAGAAGCCAUUCCCUGAGGCACUGGGGGAGUUUUUUUCUUGGGACCACAAAACUUGAGCAGAACAAGGACAGACAUUCCUUGUUCUGUGGGUGGAGCCUGAAGUCACCAUGGAAGGCUCUUUGUGAAGAUGUUAUGAGUAAUUCCUUCCAUGCCCCUUAGCAAUGUCACUUUACUGCUCUUCCCAUCAAGAGGUGAAUUCUCUCUCCUCCCCUUGAAUCAAGCUUGGCAAUAUGACUUCUUUUGGCCAAUGGGCUAUUAGCAAAUGUGAUGCAUGCAGAGGCUUGAAGCACACCCGUGUGUGAGGUUUGCCCUCUCUUUGGCUGUGACCGUAAUGGGAAUGAGCCUGAGCUGCCUGCUGAAGAGGCCACAUGGAGAGCCGAGGCGUUCAGCCUUAAGCUUGCUGGCUGCUGGACACAAAAGUGAGGACAUCUGAGACCGUCCAGCCCUACUCAAACCACCUGAUGACUACAUCUGCAUGAGCGAGCCCAGGCGAACCCAGAGGCAGAACUGCCAGCUGAGCCCAGGCAAAUUGCUGCCCCACAAAAUCGUGAGCCAAGAAAAUGGGUGGAACCCAGAGCUGGGGCCAGCAAGGGGGGCCACCGGCCUCUAGGGCAGGGCUGCUCCAGCGGUGGGCCUCGGAUUGGCUGCUUGAUACAGUCGGUGAUGAGGAGAGUAGAAAGAUCAAGAUCGUAACAAACUUUUGUAACAAAUUGACAAACUAAUAUUAGGUUUGUUGAAUUUAACAGUAAAAAAUUGAGGCUUUAAAUAUGUGUUUAGGUUUUUAUUGUAUUUUACAGAAGUAUUGGUUUACAGUGGAUUGGGCAAAAAAACCCUGGCCCUUCUCCACAGAUGGUCUGAGAAGCACUGCUCCAGGGGAUGGCAAAUUUACAAGCUACCCUGGAACUUAGAAGUGGGUUGAACCUUGUCAGGACUCUCUCCCUCAGCCUGGUAUUUUCAUUUCUUUCUGAAUGUCACCUUUUGCCACCAGGUGGGUCACCUGGUAGCAUGGAGCUCUGCAAUCUAUCUUUUCAAAUUCACAACCAAAAAGGAAAGAGGCCAUUUCUCCUUAGCUCUCGUUAGAAAACUUUUGGGGAAGGACUCUGACCAGCCUGGUUUGGGGCACCCACUCACAACCCAUCUCUGGGACAGGGAGGGAAGACCGUGUAAGACGGUGGCUCCCUUUGGAUCACACAGCUGAGUGUAGGGAGCAGUUCUACAAAAUGGGGGGACUUCCGUUCCCAGGAGAAGGCAAGUGCUGGGCAGAUAAGGAAUAUGUCCCCCAUAGGGAGCUCCCAGCUCUCUCUCUACUCCUUUCUCUUGUCCCCCAGCCUCCUAAACACGUCCCCACCAGGAAC